This 406-nucleotide ribosomal RNA is filed under the name uncultured bacterium. RNAcentral's name for it is "bacterial SSU rRNA". It matches the Rfam family "Bacterial small subunit ribosomal RNA", at positions 355 to 775 of the family's 1533-position model. The record is from RNAcentral.
UGGGGAAUAUUGGGCAAUGGGCGAAAGCCUGACCCAGCAACGCCGCGUGAAGGAAGAAGGUUUUCGGAUUGUAAACUUCUGUCCUCAGGGAAGAAGGACGUGACGGUACUUGAGGAGGAAGCCCCGGCUAACCACGUGCCAGCAGCCGCGGUAAUACGUAGGGGGCGAGCGUUGUCCGGAAUGACUGGGCGUAAAGGGCGCGUAGACGGCUGUCUAAGUCUGGAGUGAAAGUCCUGUUUUCAAGGUGGGAAUUGCUUUGGAGACUGGAUGGCUUGAGUGCGGAAGAGGUAAGUGGAAUUCCCAGUGUAGCGGUGAAAUGCGUAGAGAUUGGGAGGAACACCAGUGGCGAAGGCGACUUACUGGGCCGUAACUGACGUUGAAGCGCGAAAGCGUGGGGAGCGAACAG